Molecule: long non-coding RNA, 218 nt
Filed under: Lathyrus oleraceus (garden pea)
Lineage: Eukaryota; Viridiplantae; Streptophyta; Magnoliopsida; Fabales; Fabaceae
Description: Pisum sativum (pea) long non-coding RNA (PSAT_LNC016130)
Source: RNAcentral
GGCAAAGUAUUUCUUGACCGCAUCUGUGUUCACAAGAUGAGUGAACUCUUCACCAUCCAUAGUUGUAAGAAUGAAUGCACCGCCUGAAAAGGCUCUCUUAACAACGUAUGGGCCUUCAUAAUUGGGAGUCCAUUUUCCUCUGGAAUCUGGCUUGAACGAUAAGAUCUUCUUGAGCACAAGGUCACCUUCUCUGAACACUCGAGGUUUGACUUUCUUAU